UACAGAGACUGCAAGCGUUAUUCGGAUUCACUGGGCGUAAAGGGUGCGCAGGCGACCGUGUGUGUGAGGCGUGAAAGCCCGGGGCUUAACCCCGGAAUUGCACCUCAAACUACAUGGCUAGAGCAUUGGAGAGGGUAGCAGAAUUCAUGGUGUAGCAGUGAAAUGCGUAGAUAUCAUGAGGAAUACCAGAGGCGAAGGCGGCUACCUGGACAAUUGCUGACGCUCAGGCACGAAAGCGUGGGGAGCAAAAGGG
This 253-nucleotide ribosomal RNA is filed under the name uncultured bacterium. RNAcentral describes it as "partial 16S ribosomal RNA". It matches the Rfam family "Bacterial small subunit ribosomal RNA", at positions 524 to 776 of the family's 1533-position model. The record is from RNAcentral.